AAACCCAGCUUCUCUGCAGCACCAGGAAGAAGGCAAGCCGGGCCACCAGGGCGCGGCCCCAGGAAGGAAAAUCCUCCAUGGUCCUGUUGACAGAUGUGGUAUCAAAUGAAUUGUUCUCUGCUUAGACACGACUUUGAUAUUUAUUGGUUCAAAUUGCUCGGCUGACUCAGUCUUGCUGAGCCCUGAAGCAUGGCAUUGAGAAGCUGCCUAAGAAGGAGGCAGGUCCAUCAGCCUGGGUGCCCGACUGAUUACCCUGAGCAGAGCUCCCCAGCCCACCUGUGAUGGACGCAUGGAGCUUGAGCAAGGAAUAAAUAUUCGUUGCUUCCUGAGAACCCCACUGCGGAUGAGAACAAAGGUUUGUUUGGUUGACCCUUUCUCAGAUCCCGCCCACUGAGAAGUGACAGUCCCUCCUCUCCCCGCCUCUCCCUGACCCCCAGCUCUCCGCGGCGGGAUCUGAGCCCUCUCCUGCUGGACUUGUGGUACUUGCUGAACAAUCUCGUGUUGUUGUCUGCCCGCUGGGAGAGAACACUGAUAAGAGAGGAGAUUAGGUGACUAAAUCUGCUG
Molecule: long non-coding RNA, 564 nt
Filed under: Pan troglodytes (chimpanzee)
Lineage: Eukaryota; Metazoa; Chordata; Mammalia; Primates; Hominidae
Description: lincRNA
Source: RNAcentral